GACGAACGCUGGCGGCGUGCCUAAUACAUGCAAGUCGAACGGAAAGGCCCGGCUUUUGUGCGGUGCUCGAGUGGCGAACGGGUGAGUAACACGUGAGUAACCUGCCCUUGACUGUGGGAUAACUUUAGGAAACUGGGGCUAAUACCGGAUAGCAGCUCCUGCCGCAUGGUGGGGGCUGGAAAGUUUCGGUGGUUGGGGUUGGACUCGCGGCUUCUCAGCUUGUAGGUGGGGUAGUGGCUUACCCCGGCUAUGACGGGUAGCCGUCCUGGGAGGGUGACCGGCCCCAUAGGGCCUGAGGUAGGGCCAGGAGUGAAACGGGAGGAAGCGGUGGAAAAUAGUGCGCACUGGGCGGAGGGCGGGUGCAGCAGUGCCGGGUGCGGAAUGACGGCCUUAGGGGUGUAAACCGCGGUAGACUGUGACGAACCGUCAGUGACGGUAACGGAUCAGGAAGCAACGGCUAACUACGUG
Molecule: ribosomal RNA, 468 nt
Filed under: uncultured bacterium
Lineage: Bacteria
Description: partial 16S ribosomal RNA
Rfam family: Bacterial small subunit ribosomal RNA
Source: RNAcentral